RNAcentral lists this ribosomal RNA (465 nucleotides) under uncultured bacterium. RNAcentral describes it as "partial 16S ribosomal RNA". It matches the Rfam family "Bacterial small subunit ribosomal RNA", at positions 28 to 507 of the family's 1533-position model. The record is from RNAcentral.
GACGAACGCUGGCGGCGUGCUUAACACAUGCAAGUCGUACGGUAAGGCCCUUUCGGGGGUACACGAGUGGCGAACGGGUGAGUAACACGUGAGUAACCUGCCCACAACUUUGGGAUAACGCUAGGAAACUGGUGCUAAUACUGGAUAUGUGCUCCUGCUGCAUGGUGGGGGUUGGAAAGCUCCGGCGGUUGUGGAUGGACUCGCGGCCUAUCAGCUUGUUGGUGGGGUAGUGGCCUACCAAGGCGGUGACGGGUAGCCGGCCUGAGAGGGUGACCGGCCACAUUGGGACUGAGAUACGGCCCAGACUCCUACGGGAGGCAGCAGGGGGGAAUAUUGCACAAGGGGCGCAAGCCUGAUGCAGCAACGCCGCGGGCGGGAUGACGGCCUUCGGGUUGUAAACCGCUUUCAGCAGGGACGAAGCUUUUUGUGACGGUACCUGCAGAAGAAGCACCGGCUAACUACGUG